CCCUUAGAUGUUCUGGGCCGCACGCGCGCUACACUGAUACGUUCAACGAGUUUAUAACCUUGAUUGAUAGGUCUGGGUAAUCUUUUGAAUGCGUAUCGUGCUAGGGAUAGAUUAUUGAAAUUAUUAAUCUUGAACGAGGAAUUCCUAGUAAACGCAGAUCAUCAAUCUGCAUUGAUUACGUCCCUGCCCUUUGUACACACCGCCCGUCGCACCUACCGAUUGGAUGGUCCGGUGAAGCCUCGGGAUUGUGGUUCUUGCCGCUUUAUUGUGGCGUGACCGCGAGAACUUGUCUAAACCUUAUCAUCUAGAGGAAGGUGAAGUCGUAACA
This 328-nucleotide ribosomal RNA is filed under the name uncultured eukaryote. RNAcentral describes it as "partial 18S ribosomal RNA". It matches the Rfam family "Eukaryotic small subunit ribosomal RNA", at positions 1470 to 1796 of the family's 1831-position model. The record is from RNAcentral.